Molecule: non-coding RNA, 208 nt
Organism: Oryza nivara
Lineage: Eukaryota; Viridiplantae; Streptophyta; Magnoliopsida; Poales; Poaceae
Source: Rfam
AAUAAAUACAGCUUUACACUAUUCAUGUCUAACGUUUGACCGUUCGUCUUAUUUGAUUUUUUUUAAGAUUAGUAUUUUUAUUGUUAUUAAACGAUAGAACAUGAAUAGUACUUUAUGUGUGACUAUUUUUUUUAAAAAAAAUUCAUAAUUUUUUUAAAUAAGACGGGCGGUCAAACGAUAGACACAUAUAUCCACGGCUACACUUAUU